RNAcentral lists this long non-coding RNA (393 nucleotides) under Homo sapiens (human). Its description in RNAcentral is "non-protein coding lnc-KCNJ3-1:2". The record is from RNAcentral. Lineage: Eukaryota; Metazoa; Chordata; Mammalia; Primates; Hominidae.
AGGGAUUGUUUAGCUGAAAUGGAAGAUUUGAUAUCUGAACAAGGAGUUCUAAAUAAUUCUCUGCACCUUAAUCUGCCAAUACUCACUCUAAAACUACACAAAGGAGAUUCAAAAUAAAAAGAGGAUGAUAAACGGCAAAACCAUCUGAGGUAUUGCAUAAUUGAAACCACAGAUUGCUGCAAAAUAGCUUGGUAGAUAUGAGUAGUUGCCCAAGUUGCAGAAGAGGAUGCUGUUGUACACAUCAUCCUUGAGAUAGGAUGUAGAAACCCAGACACAGACGGAUUGAUGAUACUCUAGAUACCGAGCACUUCUUUAAUUUCUUCUUCUAACAACUGUGAAGUGGUCAAAAGGCAGAAAUGAGGAGGAAAGCAAAAAAGAAGAAGCCACAGGGUG